Long non-coding RNA from Suricata suricatta (meerkat), 333 nucleotides. RefSeq lists it as uncharacterized. The record is from RefSeq and is a predicted model, not a curated record. The transcript has 4 exons. Lineage: Eukaryota; Metazoa; Chordata; Mammalia; Carnivora; Herpestidae.
CCCCUCCACGUAAUCACUCUUCUGUGAAUAAAACCUGAAACAUUCCAGCACAUUUUCCUAAAAAACAAACAAACAAAAAACUGCCUUCCUUGAGACGUUCCAAAGCACUCAUCUCCUUGGUUCUGCACGCCCACUUCAUCGACUUACGUAAGAGAGCCACUGAGUCAAAGGAGAAAGAUUUCAGCCCAGGACAAGGGAGGCCUGUGAAGCCAUCCAGCCUGGAGAAGAAAAUCUCGGGAGGUCAGGAGCGCUCCGAUUCAAGGCAUGAAAGACGGAACCAGUGGCAAAAGAUCUCUCUGCAUCAUCAUUUGCAAGUUAUCUAAAAUGUCAAAG